RNAcentral lists this ribosomal RNA (567 nucleotides) under uncultured bacterium. RNAcentral's name for it is "partial 16S ribosomal RNA". It matches the Rfam family "Bacterial small subunit ribosomal RNA", at positions 355 to 1375 of the family's 1533-position model. The record is from RNAcentral.
UGGGGAAUAUUGCACAAUGGGCGAAAGCCUGAUGCAGCAACGCCGCGUGAGGGACGACGGCCUUCGGUUGUAAACCUCUUUAGCAAGGAAGAAGCGAAAGUGACGGUACUUGCAGAAAAAGCGCCGGCUAACUACGUGCCAGCAGCCGCGGUAAUACGUAGGGCGCAAGCGUUAUCCGGAAUUAUUGGGCGUAAAGAGCUCGUAGGCGGUUUGUCGCGUCUGCUGUGAAAACCCGAGGCUCAACCUCGGGCCUGCAGUGGGUACGGGCAGACUAGAGUGCGGUAGGGGAGAUUGGAACUCCUGGUGUAGCGGUGGAAUGCGCAGAUAUCAGGAAGAACACCGAUGGCGAAGGCAGAUCUCUGGGCCGUAACUGACGCUGAGGAGCGAAAGGGUGGGGAGCAAAACAGGCUUAGAUACCCUGGUAGUCCACCCCGUAAACGUUGGGAACUAGUUGUGGGGUCCAUUCCACGGAUUCCGUGACGCAGCUAACGCAUUAAGUUCCCCGCCUGGGGAGUACGGCCGCAAGGCUAAAACUUAAAGGAAUUGACGGGGUCAUAGCUGUUUCCU